This 79-nucleotide transfer RNA is filed under the name Eutoxeres condamini. RNAcentral describes it as "tRNA-His". The stretch from base 1 to 69 matches the Rfam family "tRNA". From Rfam's summary of the family: Transfer RNA (tRNA) molecules are approximately 80 nucleotides in length. Their secondary structure includes four short double-helical elements and three loops (D, anti-codon, and T loops). The record is from RNAcentral. Lineage: Eukaryota; Metazoa; Chordata; Aves; Apodiformes; Trochilidae.
GCAAGUAUAGUUUAAUUAAAACGUUAGUCUGUGAUCCUAAAAAUAGAAGUGAGACUCUUCUUACCUGCCGAGGGGAGGU